This 439-nucleotide ribosomal RNA is filed under the name uncultured bacterium. RNAcentral describes it as "partial 16S ribosomal RNA". It matches the Rfam family "Bacterial small subunit ribosomal RNA", at positions 339 to 795 of the family's 1533-position model. The record is from RNAcentral.
CUACGGGAGGCUCCAGUGAGGAAUAUUGCACAAUGGGGGGAACCCUGAUGCAGCAACGCCGCGUGGAGGAUGACGCAUUUCGGUGUGUAGACUCCUUUUAUAUGUCAAGAAAAUGACGGUAGCAUAUGAAUAAGCACCGGCUAACUCCGUGCCAGCAGCCGCGGUAAUACGGAGGGUGCAAGCGUUACUCGGAAUCACUGGGCGUAAAGGACGCGUAGGCGGGUUGGAAAGUCAGGUGUGAAAUCCUACAGCUUAACUGUAGGACUGCACUUGAAACUUCUAAUCUAGAGUAUGGGAGGGGGAGAUGGAAUUAGUGGUGUAGGGGUAAAAUCCGUAGAUAUCACUAGGAAUACCUAAAGCGAAGGCGAUCUCCUGGAACAUUACUGACGCUAAGGCGUGAAAGCGUGGGGAGCAAACAGGAUUAGAUACCCCGGUAGUC